RNAcentral lists this ribosomal RNA (263 nucleotides) under uncultured bacterium. RNAcentral's name for it is "partial 16S rRNA". It matches the Rfam family "Bacterial small subunit ribosomal RNA", at positions 539 to 801 of the family's 1533-position model. The record is from RNAcentral.
CGUUAUCCGGAAUCAUUGGGUUUAAAGGGUCCGUAGGCGGUUUAGUAAGUCAGUGGUGAAAGCCCAUCGCUCNACGNUGGAACGGCCAUUGAUACUGNUANACUUGAAUUAUUAGGAAGUAACUAGCAUAUGUAGUGUAGCGNUGAAAUGCUUAGAGAUUACAUGGAAUACCAAUUGCGAAGGCAGGUUACUANUAAUGGAUUGACGCUGAUGGACGAAAGCGUGGGUAGCGAACAGGAUUAGAUACCNUGGUAGUCCACGCC